This 73-nucleotide transfer RNA is filed under the name Candidatus Latescibacteria bacterium ADurb.Bin168. Its description in RNAcentral is "tRNA-Thr". It matches the Rfam family "tRNA". Rfam says of the family: Transfer RNA (tRNA) molecules are approximately 80 nucleotides in length. Their secondary structure includes four short double-helical elements and three loops (D, anti-codon, and T loops). Further hydrogen bonds mediate the characteristic L-shaped molecular structure. tRNAs have two regions of fundamental functional importance: the anti-codon, which is responsible for specific mRNA codon recognition, and the 3' end, to which the tRNAs corresponding amino acid is attached (by aminoacyl-tRNA synthetases). tRNAs cope with the degeneracy of the genetic code in two manners: having more than one tRNA (with a specific anti-codon) for a particular amino acid; and 'wobble' base-pairing, i.e. permitting non-standard base-pairing at the 3rd anti-codon position. The record is from RNAcentral. RNAcentral also lists the same sequence under 1 other name. Lineage: Bacteria; Pseudomonadati; Candidatus Latescibacterota.
GCCCGGGUAGCUCAGUCGGUAGAGCACGUCCUUGGUAAGGACGGGGUCGUCGGUUCGAGUCCGAUCCCGGGCU